Molecule: unclassified non-coding RNA, 263 nt
Filed under: plant metagenome
Description: partial contains small subunit ribosomal RNA, internal transcribed spacer 1, and 5.8S ribosomal RNA
Source: RNAcentral
UUUCCGUAGGUGAACCUGCGGAAGGAUCAUUAUUGUAUAACCGAGGUGCGAGGGCUGUCGCUGACCCGAAAGGUCGUGCACGCCCGAGUGCCCUCACACACAUCCAUCUCACCCCUAUGUGCACCACCGCGCGGGUCCCCCUUUGGCUUGUUCGGAGGGGGGCUUACGUUUUCACACAAACUUUGUAUGCAGUGUAGAAUGUAUUUUUUGUUUUUGCGAUCACGCAAUCAAUACAACUCUCAACAACGGAUCUCUUGGCUCUC